Non-coding RNA from Salvelinus sp. IW2-2015, 898 nucleotides. Lineage: Eukaryota; Metazoa; Chordata; Actinopteri; Salmoniformes; Salmonidae. The record is from RefSeq and is a predicted model, not a curated record.
ACCUCCAAGCAGACUUUAGACCAGGCUACUCUGACAUCAGGCUGGUCCCAGUCAUUGUUUGUGACCUAUAGUCAACCUCCAAGCAGACUUUAGACCAGGCUACUCUGACAUCAGGCUGGUCCCAGAUCUUGUUUCUGCCAUAUAGUCAACCUCCAAGCAGACUUUAGACCAGGCUAGUCUGACAUCAGCCUGGUCCCAGAUCUGUUUGUGCUCUCUUUCCACCUCACUGUGGAACUGUCACGUCAAAAAAAUUACUUGCUUGGCUUGACAGUGGCAUCAAUGGAGUUGACUAUACGUCACACACUGUUCUGGACCAGGCUACUCUGACAUCAAUGGAGUUGACUAUAUGUCACAAACAGAUCUGGGACCAGGCUACUCUGACAUUACACAGCCAGGGACAAUAGAGAAAUGUGGCUAAAUGGUGUCUUGUCCAUAUCCUGUUCGUGUGUAUACCUGUACAGGAUGGUCAGUUUUGAUGUCCUUCUCCUUUCUCUUCUGACCUCACCUGUGCUCCUGGUGGCAUCCUGGCUUUUCUAUUGGACAAUACAGUAUCGGGGUCUUCAUCGGAGAGAGGACUUGACUCAGCGGAGAUGGAGAAGACAGGAUGGACAUCGGUCAACAGUGAGCCAGGGUAUCACCGGGAAGUGGCGUUAAUUUACGAGUCCCCUUACCUCCUGAGAAGACUGUGGAAGUUACCUUGGUUCAGGACGACCCCUUUCUCCGCCUGUAGGAUCACAGAUCAUGGAGACAUACUGUAGAGUCCCGUCGGAGGGUAUUGGGUCUCGUUUUAAAGUUAAAGUUGUGUGGAAUUGAUAUGUAAAGACAAGGGACUGUGGACAAUAGGCAUAAUAUGGAAUUAGCCCAUGAUGUACUGUAUAUAUAAACAUAUAAUAAUGUA